Molecule: ribosomal RNA, 513 nt
Filed under: uncultured bacterium
Lineage: Bacteria
Description: partial 16S ribosomal RNA
Rfam family: Bacterial small subunit ribosomal RNA
Source: RNAcentral
GAUGAACGCUGGCGGCGUGCCUAAUACACGCAAGUCGAGCGAACAGAUGAGAAGCUUGCUUCUCUGAUGUUAGCGGCGGACGGGUGAGUAACACGUGGGUAACCUACCUAUAGACUGGGAUAGCUCCGGGAAACCGGGGCUAAUACCGGAUAAUAUUUUGAACCGCAUGGUUCGAUAGUGAAAGACGGUUUCGGCUGUCACUUAUAGAUGGACCCGCGCCGUAUUAGCUAGUUGGUAAGGUAACGGCUUACCAAGGCGACGAUACGUAGCCGACCUGAGAGGGUGAUCGGCCACACUGGAACUGAGACACGGUCCAGACUCCUACGGGAGGCAGCAGUAGGGAAUCUUCCGCAAUGGGCGAAAGCCUGACGGAGCAACGCCGCGUGAGUGAUGAAGGUCUUCGGAUCGUAAAACUCUGUUGUUAGGGAAGAACAAAUUUGUUAGUAACUGAACAAGUCUUGACGGUACCUAACCAGAGAGCCACGGCUAACUACGUGCCAGCAGCCGCGGUAA